CAGUCGCCACGGGAAUACGAAGGGGGCUAGCGUUGCUCGGAAUUACUGGGCGUAAAGGGCGCGUAGGCGGACAGUUCAGUCGGGGGUGAAAGCCCGGGGCUCAACCUCGGAAUUGCCUUCGAUACUGGCUGUCUUGAGUAUGAGAGAGGUGUGUGGAACUCCGAGUGUAGAGGUGAAAUUCGUAGAUAUUCGGAAGAACACCAGUGGCGAAGGCGACAUACUGGCUCAUUACUGACGCUGAGGCGCGAAAGCGUGGGGAGCAAACAGGAUUAGAUACCCCAGUAGUCCCUGUCUCUUAUAC
Molecule: ribosomal RNA, 301 nt
Filed under: uncultured bacterium
Lineage: Bacteria
Description: partial 16S ribosomal RNA
Rfam family: Bacterial small subunit ribosomal RNA
Source: RNAcentral